RNAcentral lists this ribosomal RNA (299 nucleotides) under uncultured bacterium. RNAcentral describes it as "partial 16S ribosomal RNA". It matches the Rfam family "Bacterial small subunit ribosomal RNA", at positions 335 to 652 of the family's 1533-position model. The record is from RNAcentral.
AUCCUACGGGAGGCAGCAGUGGGGGAUAUUGGACAAUGGGGGAAACCCUGAUCCGGCGAUGCCGCGUGAGGGAAGAAGGUUUUCGGAUUGUAAACCUCUGUGGAGGGGGAUGAUAAUGACGGUACCCCUUUAGGAAGCCACGGCUAACUACGUGCCAGCAGCCGCGGUAAUACGUAGGUGGCGAGCGUUGUCCGGAAUUACUGGGUGUAACGGGAGUGUAGGCGGGAAAGCAAGUCAGAAGGGAACACUAUGGGCUUAACCCAUAGCCUGCUUUUUAAACUGUUUUUCUUUAGUGAAGU